AUGGAAGGAGUAGGGAAGUUGAUGAGUAGGCUCAAAUUGUCGGAGGAGGAGAAGAAGGUAGUCAAGAUCAGGGGGGUGGCAAAGGAGAAGGGGAAGAGCACAGAUCCACGGGCCAUUGGCAAGCUGCUAUCCGAGAAACCAGCCCACCCAGAUGCGAUCUCUCUAUCGCUCGGGCACGUCUUGUGUCCAAUUAAGGGGAUCGACUGCACGGAUGUAGGGGAUAAUUUGUUCAUGUUCACCUUUAAGAAGGAGUCGGGGAAGAGGAAGGCAUUGGAGGAUGGGCCGUGGAUGUUCGAUAAAGAUCUGGUGGUGGUGGAGGAUUAUGAUCCAGGCAAGCGCAUUGAGGAUUAUGAAUUUAAUGAUAUUCCCAUCUGGGUACGCAUUUUCAAUCUACCUUUGGGCAUGAUGAACGAGGAAGCGACAGAAGAUAUAGGAAACACCAUUGGUAGAUUUUUGGAGGCGGAUGCGGGGGCUGAUGGGAAGGCCAUUGGUAAGUUCCUGCGAGUUAAGGUGAGAAUGAAUAUUGGGAAGCCCAUCAUGAGGGCUUUUACGCUGGAGAGGAGGAGGAUGAUCAAUACAAAUAGAAACAAAAGAAGAAAAUGGCCAUUGACGGUACUGAAGAAGAAGAGGAGGAGGAGGGGCAAUGGUGUCGUUUCGAAUAUGAGUUCAUGCCAGACUUUUGCUACACCUGUGGUAUGA
Molecule: ribosomal RNA, 699 nt
Filed under: Triticum aestivum (bread wheat)
Lineage: Eukaryota; Viridiplantae; Streptophyta; Magnoliopsida; Poales; Poaceae
Description: partial small subunit ribosomal RNA
Source: RNAcentral